This 23-nucleotide microRNA is filed under the name Caenorhabditis briggsae. RNAcentral's name for it is "Cbr-Mir-36-o20_5p (mature (guide))". The record is from RNAcentral. Lineage: Eukaryota; Metazoa; Nematoda; Chromadorea; Rhabditida; Rhabditidae.
ACCGGGUUCUCUUUGUGGUGAUA